This 2929-nucleotide ribosomal RNA is filed under the name Escherichia coli O121 str. RM8352. Its description in RNAcentral is "bacterial LSU rRNA". It matches the Rfam family "Bacterial large subunit ribosomal RNA". The record is from RNAcentral. Lineage: Bacteria; Pseudomonadati; Pseudomonadota; Gammaproteobacteria; Enterobacterales; Enterobacteriaceae.
GGGUUGUGAGGUUAAGCGACUAAGCGUACACGGUGGAUGCCCUGGCAGUCAGAGGCGAUGAAGGACGUGCUAAUCUGCGAUAAGCGUCGGUAAGGUGAUAUGAACCGUUAUAACCGGCGAUUUCCGAAUGGGGAAACCCAGUGUGUUUCGACACACUAUCAUUAACUGAAUCCAUAGGUUAAUGAGGCGAACCGGGGGAACUGAAACAUCUAAGUACCCCGAGGAAAAGAAAUCAACCGAGAUUCCCCCAGUAGCGGCGAGCGAACGGGGAGCAGCCCAGAGCCUGAAUCAGUGUGUGUGUUAGUGGAAGCGUCUGGAAAGGCGCGCGAUACAGGGUGACAGCCCCGUACACAAAAAUGCACAUACUGUGAGCUCGAUGAGUAGGGCGGGACACGUGGUAUCCUGUCUGAAUAUGGGGGACCAUCCUCCAAGGCUAAAUACUCCUGACUGACCGAUAGUGAACCAGUACCGUGAGGGAAAGGCGAAAAGAACCCCGGCGAGGGGAGUGAAAAAGAACCUGAAACCGUGUACGUACAAGCAGUGGGAGCACGCUUAGGCGUGUGACUGCGUACCUUUUGUAUAAUGGGUCAGCGACUUAUAUUCUGUAGCAAGGUUAACCGAAUAGGGGAGCCGAAGGGAAACCGAGUCUUAACUGGGCGUUAAGUUGCAGGGUAUAGACCCGAAACCCGGUGAUCUAGCCAUGGGCAGGUUGAAGGUUGGGUAACACUAACUGGAGGACCGAACCGACUAAUGUUGAAAAAUUAGCGGAUGACUUGUGGCUGGGGGUGAAAGGCCAAUCAAACCGGGAGAUAGCUGGUUCUCCCCGAAAGCUAUUUAGGUAGCGCCUCGUGAAUUCAUCUCCGGGGGUAGAGCACUGUUUCGGCAAGGGGGUCAUCCCGACUUACCAACCCGAUGCAAACUGCGAAUACCGGAGAAUGUUAUCACGGGAGACACACGGCGGGUGCUAACGUCCGUCGUGAAGAGGGAAACAACCCAGACCGCCAGCUAAGGUCCCAAAGUCAUGGUUAAGUGGGAAACGAUGUGGGAAGGCCCAGACAGCCAGGAUGUUGGCUUAGAAGCAGCCAUCAUUUAAAGAAAGCGUAAUAGCUCACUGGUCGAGUCGGCCUGCGCGGAAGAUGUAACGGGGCUAAACCAUGCACCGAAGCUGCGGCAGCGACGCUGAUGCGUUGUUGGGUAGGGGAGCGUUCUGUAAGCCUGUGAAGGUGUGCUGUGAGGCAUGCUGGAGGUAUCAGAAGUGCGAAUGCUGACAUAAGUAACGAUAAAGCGGGUGAAAAGCCCGCUCGCCGGAAGACCAAGGGUUCCUGUCCAACGUUAAUCGGGGCAGGGUGAGUCGACCCCUAAGGCGAGGCCGAAAGGCGUAGUCGAUGGGAAACAGGUUAAUAUUCCUGUACUUGGUGUUACUGCGAAGGGGGGACGGAGAAGGCUAUGUUGGCCGGGCGACGGUUGUCCCGGUUUAAGCGUGUAGGCUGGUUUUCCAGGCAAAUCCGGAAAACUAAGGCUGAGGCGUGAUGACGAGGCACUACGGUGCUGAAGCAACAAAUGCCCUGCUUCCAGGAAAAGCCUCUAAGCAUCAGGUAACAUCAAAUCGUACCCCAAACCGACACAGGUGGUCAGGUAGAGAAUACCAAGGCGCUUGAGAGAACUCGGGUGAAGGAACUAGGCAAAAUGGUGCCGUAACUUCGGGAGAAGGCACGCUGAUAUGUAGGUGAAGUCCCUCGCGGAUGGAGCUGAAAUCAGUCGAAGAUACCAGCUGGCUGCAACUGUUUAUUAAAAACACAGCACUGUGCAAACACGAAAGUGGACGUAUACGGUGUGACGCCUGCCCGGUGCCGGAAGGUUAAUUGAUGGGGUCAGCGCAAGCGAAGCUCUUGAUCGAAGCCCCGGUAAACGGCGGCCGUAACUAUAACGGUCCUAAGGUAGCGAAAUUCCUUGUCGGGUAAGUUCCGACCUGCACGAAUGGCGUAAUGAUGGCCAGGCUGUCUCCACCCGAGACUCAGUGAAAUUGAACUCGCUGUGAAGAUGCAGUGUACCCGCGGCAAGACGGAAAGACCCCGUGAACCUUUACUAUAGCUUGACACUGAACAUUGAGCCUUGAUGUGUAGGAUAGGUGGGAGGCUUUGAAGUGUGGACGCCAGUCUGCAUGGAGCCGACCUUGAAAUACCACCCUUUAAUGUUUGAUGUUCUAACGUUGACCCGUGAUCCGGGUUGCGGACAGUGUCUGGUGGGUAGUUUGACUGGGGCGGUCUCCUCCUAAAGAGUAACGGAGGAGCACGAAGGUUGGCUAAUCCUGGUCGGACAUCAGGAGGUUAGUGCAAUGGCAUAAGCCAGCUUGACUGCGAGCGUGACGGCGCGAGCAGGUGCGAAAGCAGGUCAUAGUGAUCCGGUGGUUCUGAAUGGAAGGGCCAUCGCUCAACGGAUAAAAGGUACUCCGGGGAUAACAGGCUGAUACCGCCCAAGAGUUCAUAUCGACGGCGGUGUUUGGCACCUCGAUGUCGGCUCAUCACAUCCUGGGGCUGAAGUAGGUCCCAAGGGUAUGGCUGUUCGCCAUUUAAAGUGGUACGCGAGCUGGGUUUAGAACGUCGUGAGACAGUUCGGUCCCUAUCUGCCGUGGGCGCUGGAGAACUGAGGGGGGCUGCUCCUAGUACGAGAGGACCGGAGUGGACGCAUCACUGGUGUUCGGGUUGUCAUGCCAAUGGCACUGCCCGGUAGCUAAAUGCGGAAGAGAUAAGUGCUGAAAGCAUCUAAGCACGAAACUUGCCCCGAGAUGAGUUCUCCCUGACUCCUUGAGAGUCCUGAAGGAACGUUGAAGACGACGACGUUGAUAGGCCGGGUGUGUAAGCGCAGCGAUGCGUUGAGCUAACCGGUACUAAUGAACCGUGAGGCUUAACCUUACAACGCCGAAGCUGUU